Molecule: transfer RNA, 69 nt
Filed under: Heterocephalus glaber (naked mole-rat)
Lineage: Eukaryota; Metazoa; Chordata; Mammalia; Rodentia; Bathyergidae
Rfam family: tRNA
About the family: Transfer RNA (tRNA) molecules are approximately 80 nucleotides in length.
Source: Rfam by way of RNAcentral
GGAAAUAUAGCUCUGUGGUAGAGCAUUUGCCUCACAUGCAUGAAGCUCUGGGUUAAAUCUCUAGUACCA